UGGGGAAUAUUGCGCAAUGGGCGAAAGCCUGCCGCAGCGACGCCGCGUGUGGGAUGAAGGUUUUCGGAUUGUAAACCUCUGUCAGAAGGGAAGAAACCGCACUGUGCUAAUCAGCAGUGCCUUGACGGUACCUUCAAAGGAAGCACCGGCUAACUUCGUGCCAGCAGCCGCGGUAAUACGGAGGGUGCAAGCGUUAAUCGGAAUUACUGGGCGUAAAGCGCACGUAGGCUGCUUGUAAGUCAGGGGUGAAAUCCCACGGCUCAACCGUGGAGCUGCCUUUGAUACUGCUUAGCUUGAAUCCGGGAGAGGGUGGCGGGAUUCCAGGUGUAGGAGUGAAAUCCGUAGAUAUCUGGAGGAACAUCAGUGGCGAAGACGGCAACCUGGACCGGUAUUGACGCUGAGGUGCGAAAACGUGGGGAGCAAACAGG
Molecule: ribosomal RNA, 428 nt
Filed under: Fusobacteriota bacterium
Lineage: Bacteria; Fusobacteriati; Fusobacteriota
Description: Fusobacteria bacterium partial 16S ribosomal RNA
Rfam family: Bacterial small subunit ribosomal RNA
Source: RNAcentral